ACAAUGGAGAGUUUGAUCCUGGCUCAGGAUGAACGCUAGCUACAGGCUUAACACAUGCAAGUCGAGGGGAAACGACAUCGAAAGCUUGCUUUUGAUGGGCGUCGACCGGCGCACGG
This 116-nucleotide ribosomal RNA is filed under the name Segatella copri. RNAcentral's name for it is "partial 16S ribosomal RNA". It matches the Rfam family "Bacterial small subunit ribosomal RNA", at positions 1 to 105 of the family's 1533-position model. Lineage: Bacteria; Pseudomonadati; Bacteroidota; Bacteroidia; Bacteroidales; Prevotellaceae. The record is from RNAcentral.